This 86-nucleotide small nucleolar RNA is filed under the name Oryza sativa (Asian cultivated rice). RNAcentral describes it as "Z249 small nucleolar RNA". Lineage: Eukaryota; Viridiplantae; Streptophyta; Magnoliopsida; Poales; Poaceae. The record is from RNAcentral.
GAAAUCAAUGACGACGGUAGGUAUGCAAUGCCCGGCCGCCGCUUGACGAAUUUGCCGGUGAUUAUUAGCCGGAAUCUGAAGAUUGC